Molecule: long non-coding RNA, 385 nt
Filed under: Fukomys damarensis (Damara mole-rat)
Lineage: Eukaryota; Metazoa; Chordata; Mammalia; Rodentia; Bathyergidae
Description: lncRNA (ENSFDAG00000026748.1)
Source: RNAcentral
CUCUGAGUUCAGAGCCCUCCUCUGUCCACUGGGAUGACAGUGCUCUCCAACCAAGUUGUUCUGGGAGGUGAGAGCAGGCUUGGGAGGAGUGGGCACAGAAAAGGCCUCAGUGAGUGGGGCAAGGAGGGAGAGGAGGAGUCUGAGUUUUAGCCACCACAAUCUGCCAGGGCUCACGGACCUGCUGACUGCAGAGCCUGCGAUCCUGGAAGUGCCCACAACCUCCAGAAUGACCUGCUCAAGAUCACACAGCUGCCAAUGCAAAGAGUGCACCAAGCCCAGGUGGGAAGCCAAGGCACAGGGAGCUCCAAGACCGGCCCGGGAUGUUCAGGUUGAACUGCACCAUCAUCACAGACUGAAACAGCAGGAUACUAGCACUUUGGCGUGA